GACGAACGCUGGCGGCGUGCUUAACACAUGCAAGUCGAACGGAAAGGCCCUGCUUUUGUGGGGUGCUCGAGUGGCGAGCGGGUGAGUAACACGUGAGUAACCUGCCCUUGACUUUGGGAUAACUUCAGGAAACUGGGGCUAAUACCGGAUAGGAGCUCCUGCUGCAUGGUGGGGGUUGGAAAGUUUCGGCGGUUGGGGAUGGACUCGCGGCUUAUCAGCUUGUUGGUGGGGUAGUGGCUUACCAAGGCUUUGACGGGUAGCCGGCCUGAGAGGGUGACCGGCCACAUUGGGACUGAGAUACGGCCCAGACUCCUACGGGAGGCAGCAGUGGGGAAUAUUGCACAAUGGGCGGAAGCCUGAUGCAGCAACGCCGCGUGCGGGAUGACGGCCUUCGGGUUGUAAACCGCUUUCGCCUGUGACGAAGCGUGAGUGACGGUAAUGGGUAAAGAAGCACCGGCUAACUACGUGCCAGCAGCCGCGGUGAUACGUAGGGUGCGAGCGUUGUCCGGAUUUAUUGGGCGUAAAGGGCUCGUAGGUGGUUGAUCGCGUCGGAAGUGUAAUCUUGGGGCUUAACCCUGAGCGUGCUUUCGAUACGGGUUGACUUGAGGAAGGUAGGGGAGAAUGGAAUUCCUGGUGGAGCGGUGGAAUGCGCAGAUAUCAGGAGGAACACCAGUGGCGAAGGCGGUUCUCUGGGCCUUUCCUGACGCUGAGGAGCGAAAGCGUGGGGAGCGAACAGGCUUAGAUACCCUGGUAGUCCACGCUGUAAACGGUGGGUACUAGGUGUGGGGUCCAUUCCACGUGUUCCGUGCCGUAGCUAACGCUUUAAGUACCCCGCCUGGGGAGUACGGCCGCAAGGCUAAAACUCAAAGGAAUUGACGGGGCCCCGCACAAGCGGCGGAGCAUGCGGAUUAAUUCGAUGCAACGCGUAGAACCUUACCUGGGUUUGACAUGGAUCGGGAGUGCUCAGAGAUGGGUGUGCCUCUUUUGGGGUCGGUUCACAGGUGGUGCGUGGCUGUCGUCAGCUCGUGUCGUGAGAUGUUGGGUUAAGUCCCGCAACGAGCGCAACCCUUGUUCACUGUUGCCAGCACGUUAUGGUGGGGACUCAGUGGAGACCGCCGGGGUCAACUCGGAGGAAGGUGGGGAUGACGUCAAGUCAUCAUGCCCCUUAUGUCCAGGGCUUCACGCAUGCUACAAUGGCUGGUACAGAGAGUGGCGAGCCUGUGAGGGUGAGCGAAUCUCGGAAAGCCGGUCUCAGUUCGGAUUGGGGUCUGCAACUCGACCUCAUGAAGUCGGAGUCGCUAGUAAUCGCAGAUCAGCAACGCUGCGGUGAAUACGUUCCCGGG
This 1343-nucleotide ribosomal RNA is filed under the name uncultured bacterium. RNAcentral's name for it is "16S ribosomal RNA". It matches the Rfam family "Bacterial small subunit ribosomal RNA", at positions 28 to 1378 of the family's 1533-position model. The record is from RNAcentral.